This 19545-nucleotide long non-coding RNA is filed under the name Elaeis guineensis (African oil palm). RNAcentral describes it as "long non-coding RNA (EGUI_LNC013675)". Lineage: Eukaryota; Viridiplantae; Streptophyta; Magnoliopsida; Arecales; Arecaceae. The record is from RNAcentral.
AAGUCUUAACCAAGUUCCCUAAAAAGGAAAAAAAAAAAAAAGUCUUAACCAAGUUUCUGACAAUGGGGUCCUCUUACACUCACUCUAACCCCCUCAAACACAAGAAAAGGGAGAGCAUUUCUCCAAAUCCAACAAGUGACGAAUAACUUGUACUCACCACUACCAUCGCCGAUUCAAGAAACCAUGUCUAUAUCAUCAGCACACCAAAUCCAAGAAUAAUCAGCCCAUCAGCAUUUAUAAACAUACUUCACCCCGAUACAACCCAAAUAAUUUUGAAAAACGUCAAGAUUCCUCUACUCAAUAAUUUUGAGGCCCGAUUCACCUAAUGCAAAGCAAAUAUCGAAAUAUAACGACUAAUCUCAAUCAUUUUUUUUUAUUUUAAAUUAAUAUUGGAUCAACAAAAUAAAAGAACACUGCAACCAUCACCUCGUUACGAGGUAACUCUUUUACUUUUAAUUUUUUUGAUAUAGGUCUUUGAUUAGAAAUUAUUCAGAAUUUCUAAUACCCUAUCCAAAACAAAAAUCCCAAUUUUUUCCUCAUCGACAACAAACUCCAACAUACUAGAACCAAAUAGAACGACAAUACACAAAAUUUCAGAUGAUUCACAUUUUUCCUAUUAAAGAAUCGCCACAUGAUGCUCAAAUACAUGGAAAACAACAAAGUAACGAUUGGAUUCAUCAUGCAAUCGGUCCCAAAAAUCCAAAUAAACCAACAGAUCAAUAUAAGGGGAAAUACACACAAUAUAGAGGCGCAAAAACCACACCGUUUCUCGGAGAUUAAUCGUUCACGAUUCCGGAACGAUGAAGACGAAAGCGACAGAGAUCACAACGGGGAGCGCCUUUCUCCCGUGGAUGUUUAUAUAUAGGAGGAGAUUGUUUGGAGGCGAUGCGCUCUGUUAACGCGGUGACAUGUGAGGACAUCGGAUGAGCCUUCCUUUAUCUCCAAGCAAAUGCCGCAGUGGCACGCGAGACCGUCCAUCUGCUUUUCCGUGUAUUUUUUAUGAGUUGGGUCACGUGUCGAUGGUGUAGUGGCGUUUUAUGGUUGGAGUAAAUGAGAAGUAUGGUGCGUCAUCCAAUUCAAAAAUUUAUUNNNNNNNNNNNNNNNNNNNNUGAGAAGUAUGGUGCGUCAUCCAAUUCAAAAAUUUAUUAUAAAUAAAUAUAAAAAAAAAAAUUUACUUACAAAAUUAAUAUAUUAUCUAAUUUAUUUAUCAAACUAAUGUAAAUAUGUAAAACAUUAUUUCAAAUGGUAUUUUAUAAUGUCACAUCACCUAUCACAGAUAUAAAAAAAAAAUUCAUACGAUGAAAAUACCAUUUGGAACGAUAUUUUUAAUUUUUCUUAAUAAAAAAUAUCUCAAAAAAAAGAUCUCAAAAAAAAAUGCUAUAAAAAAUUGCGUCUUUGAAAACGUCAUUCAAAAAUAUAAUUUCUUUUAGUAUUUUUAUUUAUUAAAUAUCUAAAAAAAUAACAAAAAAAUAUACCUGGGGCGACCACCACAAAAAAAUAAAAAAUUAAAAAUUAAAGUCAUCAUUUAAUAAUAAUAUAAUAUAAUAAUAUAUAAAGUAUAAUAUAAUAUAUCAUAAUAAUAAUAUAAUAUAAUAUAUAAUAAUAUUUAUAUUAGAUAUUAUAAUACAUUAUUACAAUAUAAUGUACUAUAUUAUAUUUUAAUAUAGUAUAUUAUAAUAUAAUAUAAUUACUAUACUAUAUUUUAAUAUUAUAUAUUAUAAAAUAAAAAAGAAUAUUAUAUUAUAAUAUUAUAAAAAAUUAUUAUAAGAUAUUAAAAUAUAAUAAUAAUAAUAAUAUAAUAUAUAUUUUAUUAUAAAAUAUAAGAUAUUAAUAUAAUAUAAUAUAUUAUUAUAAUAAUAUAUAACAAUAUAAUUAUAUCAUAAUAUUUGUAUAAUACUAUAAUAAUAUAAUAAUAUAAGAUUUUAUAUAUAAUAAUAUAUACUAAUAUAAUAUAAUAUAUUAUAUUAAUAUAUAAUCAUAUUAUAAAAUAUAUAUUAUAUUAAAAUAAAAUAUUAAUAUAAUAUAAUAUAUUUAAUAAAAUAAUAUAAUAUAUUAUAAUAUAAUAAUAUAUCAAUAUAAUAUUAUAUUAUAUUAUAUUAUAAUAAUAUUAACAAGCUUUUUAAACAUAUAAAUUUUAUUAUUAGUGGUUUUUCUCUCGUACAAAUCUUUAAGCUUCCUCCAAAGUAUAAUAGCAAAUAUUUCAUUGUCUACAUGAUGGUAAAUAUUGUCAUCCAACCAUUAUCGAAUAAAGCCAACACAUUAUCGGUGCAAAAAUUUUUACUUCUCAUUGGUCGUAUCUUUAGGCUUGGCAUCAUCAUCUUCUAAGGGAGCAUGCAUCUCCUUACAAUAAAGUAAGUCUAACAUCUUGCCCUUUCAUGUCUCCAAUUAUCACCAUUUAGGCUCACCAUUCUAUUUAUAUUUACCUCCAUUACUAACUUAGGAAUUUUAUAAAAUACCUUAUACGCACCAACUAUAGCUCUGAUACUACUUAUUGGGAAGGAGUGAGUGCUUUCUUCCCCUCUUAGGUAAGGUAUUGAUAAUAUUUCACAAGCACAAUGUACAAUGGCAAACAACAACCCAAUAAAUAUAAAAAAUCAAACAACUAAGAGAAUAGGAACAAUAAACUUUUACGUGAAAAAUACUUUAAGGAAGAGAAAAAACACGAAGCACCAAGUGGAAAUGUACUAAUCUAAACUACAUCACACCGAUCAGUGUCAUCUCCGUACCGAUCAGUACCGAUCAAAAAACUAAUCCGUAUCAUCCCCAUACCGAUCAGUACCAGUACUGUACUGACUUAUACCGAUCCAAACCGCAUCGCACCGAGCGGUUGGUAAAAGCACCAUAUCAUACUGAUGCCUUGCCGACUUGUACCGACCCAUAUCGCACUGUACGUAGCGGUUCGUGCCCUACCGACUUGUCUGAUUUUAUUUAUUUUUGAAUAUUUUAAAAAAUAUAAUUAAAUUAUCAGAUAUAUUAUUAUUAUGUACGUUAUAAUUUCUAUAGCCCUUUUAGCAUAACUUUUUCUCUCCUAAUCUUCUAAGACACAUGAGACUAUGUGUAUCCAUGUUCACAAAGCAUAACAUCCGAUCACUUGAAAUUAAAAUAAUCUUUGAUAAAAAUAAUGAUUAAUAAUAUAAAAUAGAAUAAAAAAUAUCAAAUAUAAAAAAAUAGUACAAUAAAAGUUUCAAAAAUACUAAAUAUAAAUCUAAAAAAUACUAAGUCCCACAAGGAUAUCGUGAUGCCCGUGGUCGCUUGGACCUUCUAAGGAAGAUCCUCAACGGCCGCUCCUACUCCUGUAUCUGCUGUGAUGGCUCCUCUAUAUCAAUGGAGGUCUGCUGGUCAUGCUGCUCAAGAAUAACCUCCUCAAUCUCUUCAGAAAUGAUCUGCUGUGCUGUCGGAGCAUUUGCGGACUGAGUGACACCCUCAAUCCCCUCAUCUGAAUUUACGGAUGGCCCUGAAAAGAAAAUGUCAUACUCAUGUGGCCAAUUGGUACUCGGUGAUGUUAUCUGGGGUAUGUAGGAAGAAGAAGGCUCUGUCAUCCAUAGAUCAAGUGAUGACAUCUGUGGAAUAUGCGGUGAUGGCAUAUGUGAAACAUAUGAUGAUGGCGUAUAUCUCAUAUGUGACGCAUCGGCUGCCCCAUACCAAGACGCACAGCUAUCUGGGUCAACGCCAAUCACCACCAAUGGUCCCGAACUUAUUCUCUCUAUCUCACGUAGUAUGUGGAUUCGCUCGUCCUCAUCAGCCGUAGAUAAAGCACGACGAGCAUCCAACAUAAGACCUGACAUAGAAUCAGUUUACGUAAUAAAAAUAAAAUUAACAAUAUAUUAUAAAAUAUAAAAUAAAAAUAUAACAGAACUACAUAAAAUAUUUUUUAACUUAAAUUAUUAGAAAUAAAUAAAGUAUAAUUUUCGUGAUCUUACCAAAAGACGUACAGUAGAACUCUCAUCCUCAUACCCUGGAACUGCAUACCGAAGCUAUCCAAUGACUCGCACUGUAAUGCUAAGAAAUUAAGCCAUGUAGUCUUCGAUAUAUAGACGACCUCUCAAAAUAGGAUCACCAUGAACUAUGUGAUCUCGACAUGCAUCCCAAAUGGUGAUGUACUCUGCAUGUCUGAUACGCCAGUCAAUACGAGCUCUCCCUCAUCGAUCAAUACGAUGAAGUCUCUGGCUGAUAUCAAACUACUCUGAGAUGCUCUGAAUCUGGCCAAACUGCCGCAUGACACGAUCUGAAAGAUGCCACUCCACCACAUCAAAACAAAUAAGUAGUAUCUUAGCAGUCCAUAUAUCAUGUCCAACUGUACACAUNNNNNNNNNNNNNNNNNNNNNNNNNNNNNNNNNNNNNNNNNNNNNNNNNNNNNNNNNNNNNNNNNNNNNNNNNNNNNNNNNNNNNNNNNNNNNNNNNNNNNNNNNNNNNNNNNNNNNNNNNNNNNNNNNNNNNNNNNNNNNNNNNNNNNNNNNNNNNNNNNNNNNNNNNNNNNNNNNNNNNNNNNNNNNNNNNNNNNNNNNNNNNNNNNNNNNNNNNNNNNNNNNNNNNNNNNNNNNNNNNNNNNNNNNNNNNNNNNNNNNNNNNNNNNNNNNNNNNNNNNNNNNNNNNNNNNNNNNNNNNNNNNNNNNNNNNNNNNNNNNNNNNNNNNNNNNNNNNNNNNNNNNNNNNNNNNNNNNNNNNNNNNNNNNNNNNNNNNNNNNNNNNNNNNNNNNNNNNNNNNNNNNNNNNNNNNNNNNNNNNNNNNNNNNNNNNNNNNNNNNNNNNNNNNNNNNNNNNNNNNNNNNNNNNNNNNNNNNNNNNNNNNNNNNNNNNNNNNNNNNNNNNNNNNNNNNNNNNNNNNNNNNNNNNNNNNNNNNNNNNNNNNNNNNNNNNNNNNNNNNNNNNNNNNNNNNNNNNNNNNNNNNNNNNNNNNNNNNNNNNNNNNNNNNNNNNNNNNNNNNNNNNNNNNNNNNNNNNNNNNNNNNNNNNNNNNNNNNNNNNNNNNNNNNNNNNNNNNNNNNNNNNNNNNNNNNNNNNNNNNNNNNNNNNNNNNNNNNNNNNNNNNNNNACAAAAAUUGAUAGAGUUAAAAUAAAAUAAAAUUAGUAAGCUAAAAUUUUAAUAGAUUAUGAAUACUAUAAAAUGAUAUUUGUAAAUAAAUCAAAUUUAUCCAUCUAUAUGUAUCAACUAAUGUAUCCAGUUGGCACCUAUAAACCCGUGCCACUCUUGUCGAUACGUGAUGAACGUUGAAUGCAACGUUCCAUCUGUUUCACAGUUUACACAUGUUAAAUAAAUUUUAUCGAAUUUAAAAUAGUACUAAAUUUUAAAUAAAAGAAGUAAUAUUUUUAUACAUAUAUCCCAAUGAUCCGUCUAGUCUGAAUAGAACAUCAGGAUCAUGCUGCUCCGGUGGCAUCUCGAGCAACUAUCGUCGUAAUAGACUGAUAGUCGGUAUACGCUUUCAUACCCAAAUCUACAAAUUUAAAAAAAAUCAUACAUGAUAUACCCAAUCUGAGCUACAAUAGAAUAUCGAUAACGAUAAAAAUUUUUAAUUCACAUACCUGUAAUAAUACAAGAUAACCACAAAUCUCGCUCUGAUCAGCAUAAAAACUCCAACACAUAGCUCUGUACAAACAAGCUAGUACUGCAUUGUGCCAAUUGAGUCUACGAGCGAAAUCUAAAUUCUCUAAUAAUAAUAAAAAUAUUAACUUCAUCUUAUUCGAUGAAGUAUCAGAUAAUAAAACACCAUCUAACAACUGCACUCCUAACAUACUAAUAAAAUUUAUUUACAAAUAUCAUAAAAUACCACCAAGAGAAGAAGAUCUCUCCCCAAAAUACCACUGGGAGAAGAAGAAUGGAUAGAGGAAACAAAACGGCGGACACCAUGGCUGAGUGGAUGUCUCAGGUGCAGUCGGAUUCCCCGGAAGCUCAUAAUGAUGCCCUGCAGGCGCUCUCUUCCCUCACCAAGGUCAGCACUCACAACAGGAACCUCCUCGCCCAGACACAGGACGCCAUCCCCCACAUCCUCGCCCUCUCCCAGUCCCCCUCCACCCUCACCCAGACCCUCUCCCUCUCCGUGCUCUUCAACCUCUCCCUCAACCCCAACCUCAAGCAGUCCUUGGUCGAAGCCAACAUCAUCCACCACCUCAACUCCAUCAUCUUCUCCCCCAGCUCGCCGCAGGCCGGCAAGCUGGCCGCCUUCCUUCUCUGCAGCCUCGCCAUGCUGGUCAAGAACAAGGCACCUUUCGGCGUCGCGGGCACCGUGGAAGUGGUCAUCCAAGCGCUCAAAAGCCAUUCCAACAGCUCUGCGGCCCACCACCUUCUCAGCUCUUUGUCUGAGCUGGUGCAGUUCCACGGCAACUGCACCCUCGCUAUCCGGGCCGGAGCGGUGCUUGCCCUGGUUCAGAUCAUGGAAGGACCCGCACGGGACCUCGCCGGCCCUUCCCUUGCAAUACUUGGCCUCAUGGCAAGGUUCGAGGAAGGCAUCCAGGCAAUUCGGGCGGUCGAUGGAGUUGUCGGCUUGCUGGUGGAUGGGCUGACGUCGGGAUGCAUGGUGAGCAGGGAGAGCGCCGCGGAAAUUCUAAUCACAUUGUUCGCGGCGAGUGAGGAGUGUCUGAGGGAGGCUGCGAGGAAGCACGAAUUCUCUUCUGUGCUCGCCGAUUUGUCGAUUCGGGGCUCAGACAAGGCUCGCCAGAAGGCCGGGGUGCUCAUGCAGAUAGAUACUCAUGGAGGCCAAUUUGGAUUGCUAUGUUCAAGAAGGGGGUCUCCAUGCCUCCGUGGUUCUGAGAUGAGAUCACCAAGCAGGCAGUUGCAGCUAGCGGAACAACAAAAGCAUCAGAAACUCCUUCAAGAUUCUCUUCCUUCAUGGGCUUUGCUCCCUUCCAUAUUUUGUUUCAUUGUUUGCCGGCACCUUCCUCUACGUCAUAUGUAGGUUUCUUCUGUUCCGGACACCGUUUUCUAAUCGUCAUGAUUAUUCUGAGAUUGUGAUGCAUGUGGUGAUCCAAUGAUUUAGCUCUUUGCAAAUUCUAGACUUGCAAAUUUAGGCUUGGAUUUAAUAUGAAAGCAUCAAAAUCGUUUCGUACGUAGGCAUUAUACGUUGCACAUCCCAGGCUUACAGUCCAUGAUGAAUUUCAGAUUUUUUUCUUUAUUUAUAUCCAAAUUUAUUUCUUCUUAUAUCCCUCUAAACUAAAAUUCUAAAAGAUUCCUUCAAGAAAAUUGAAUUCUUGAUGAAUUAAACAAAAAAUCAUUUUUUGUAUUACUUGAUCUAAAUAGAAGUGGAAAUCAAGUAAUUUUAAGGAAAAUUUCUCCAAAUUCUUAUCAAAAAUUAUGAAUCUUAAAAUUUAGAAUUCAAGCUCGACAAUUCUUCUUAUCUAUUUUAUCUAUUCUUUUUUAUCUUCUUUAUUAUAGAGAUGCAACAAGAUCAUGGUCGUUGUCUAUCCCUUCCUUUAGUCCAUCCUUGCGAAGGCCACACAAUCCUCCCAUCUAUACAAAUACCCACAUUUCCCAACUAGUAUUGCUGCCUCCAACACCUGGACUAGUUCAUGCUAGGCCUCAUCAUAGUCACUGGUAUUGGCCAACGAGGCGAUCAUGAUCAAGAGGGUGACAUUUUGAAAGUGAUAACAUCAUUGAGUAAGGUGAAGUAUCCGAACUUCAUGGUGUCAAGGGGAUACACAAGAUACUAUACCAGUCGAUAGCUAGAUUUUUUAUUGUUAAUUGAUAAUUAUAUGUCUAGCAAUAAGCUGAUAACAUCAUUAAGCAUUUUGCUAGGAUGGCCACGUCCUUAAGUCGCCCAUGCACCACCUCAUUGUGUUCAAUAUGGUCGGUGAUCUAGUUUUCUUAGCAACAUCAUCCAUAAGGACAUCAAGUCCCUUAGCAUACUAAUCGAUAUGGAUUUCGAGAUACAUCUAUCAAACUUUUAGCUAGAGCAACCGGUGGUGAUGGCAAUAAUGGCAAAGGAGACAGUAAUGGUGUUGAUGUCAUUGAUGCUAGUGGAGUUAUUGAGAUAUGUAGCAUCAAAAACCAUGAUAGCAUAGUGCAUGAUGAGGGAAGGAGGUGUGUAUUGAUUUAGGAUAGUGUUGUCAGAGUCACUGAGUAGGCCACGGCCGAGAAUGUUCGCAAGCAAGGAGGAUAUCAUGAAGUGGGUGAAGACUUAGUUCUAACAAGUCCUAAUCUUAGAGCUCUUAGAGCCUAAGUUGCUAGAGCUAGACUCUUAAUCAUUGAAGCGGAAGGGCUUCCACCUCAAAAUGAAUGUAGUCUCCUCUAUGCAACCUCUAAGCUGCUUGAUCAACCCUCCAUGUGGGCAUUAUCUUCAUGCUUGAAAGCUGUUGGGUGUAGAGAGGAGAGAGAGAGUAGCAUCAACGUUGACAAAAAGAAUGGAGGGAGUGGAUAAGGAGGAUUGGGAGCUACCUUUGGUGGUUGGCAUGGUGGAGGAUUAGAUUCCUCUUUGCCACAAGAACUCCAAACCUCUCCACCAAUUGUGCUAGGAUUUCUUAGAGUACUCUCUCGUGGUCUAAUUAAAAGAAAGAGAUACUCAAGGAACAACAUCAUCUAUUAGUUAUCAUAUAAUGAUCACAUGAUAAUUUAUGCUAAACUUUGCCUUACAAAUUUAGGCAGCAACCGGACCGCAUCACUGUGAUAAAUUAAUUUGAUAGUGCUACUUAAAAUUUUUUUAGUUUUGGACCCAAGUACUAUUCAUGAAAAUGUGAAGGAUCAAAGUGUAUUUUUGUCAUUUUCGCCAAUUGAACUCGUUUCCCUUUCGAUUCCCAUGCGUAGCAAGAUCCCUGCCCUUUGUGGCCAUUGCCAUUCUCCCACGACGCCUUCCUAGGCACCGGGGAGAACCCAAUUCCCGCCCUUCUCUCCACUCUCCUCCUCCUCGAGACCUCUCCGCUCUCUGGCGUCUCCUCCCCCUCUCCUCCCGCCUCCUCCCCUUUCUCUCGUUGGUCCAACAUUCGAUCUAUAUGAAGAGGCCCAGAUGUGUUCUUCUUCCCCAGACCCCAUUUUCUCGUCUCCUGCUCAUUUUUUACAUCAUUUCGAGCUCUGUUCCCGGUAAAGAAAUCAAUUUCUCUACCUUUUUCUUGAUGUAUGUAUGUAUGUAUUUGCAGAUACUUUGUGUGGAUUUCCCUCUUAUUUGAAAAGGGAAAGUAUUUGCAGAUACUUUGUGUGGAUUUCCCUCUUAUUUGAAAAGGGAAAAGAGAGAAAAUUGAUUGUCUGCAUAUGUUGUUAUUAGAAUUUUCUGGGAAACGUUGGGAGAUUUCAUAGGCUUCCAAUUGACGUGGUGAGAAAGAGGAAGAUAAAGAAUAGAGUUUGAACUGAUGCUAAACUCUACUUAAAUUUUAGAUAUGAUUUUCGGGAUUUACAAGUAAAAUGACGAAAACAAGAGUUGGGAGUUUGGAGAUUAAUUUAUUUAAGCAUCACAUGGUGAAAGUACAAGUUUUGUUUAGGGUAGGUGUGAAAUUAUUAUUGUUCAUCAGAUUCUUCAUUGUUCAUUGAUUUUUUUUUCCCUUUUUCCUCAAAAAUACUUAAUAUGAGCUUGAGGGUGCAGGUUGACAUACAGUGCUUGAUUGUUGCAUGUGUAGCUCCUUUGCCCAUAUAAAUUUGUGGCUUACUAUAUCUACCAUGAAAGAUAUGGAAUAUACAUCCAAGCCUAAAGGUGUUUAGGAAGAAUAGGAAAAUUUGGAAAUUGAGCUAUAGUGGAGUUUGCAGCAGUUGAUAGAAUAGACAAUAUUUCAGUGCAAACUGAAAAGAAGAUAUGGUUUUCUUUGCAUACGUUUAUAUAUUUAUUGAAAAGAUUAAAAUUCAUAAACACAAUGAAGCAUGAUGAUUGGUGUGAUAUGAUGCCUUGCUGGAAAAUGCUAUCAAGUUGUCAAUUAUGUAUUUGUAUUGGUUUCUAUCAUUAUGUGGUGGAGGUUUUGAAGACUUUCUUUGCAGGAAGUUUCUCAACAGAGACUGUUACACUUGGGUCAAUCCAGAUUUUUAAAACGCAUGAAUUUCUGGCUCGAAAACCAACCAUUUAUUUUUAUUGUAAAGGAGAGAACAAGAUAAUCCUGCCAGAUGUGAAGGAAAAACACUUCCUCUAUACUUUCAAGGGCAAAGAAUCUUGGCAGGUCUGCAAUUCUUCCAUUAUGUAGAUUACUCUGAAUUCGUCAAUGUUUCAUAAUUAUGCUAUGUUUUUUUAUUUAUCAUCCACAAUUACUAUUUUCUCUUGGUGUAGUGUGAAUAACCUUAGAUAAAUCAAGUUAGUACUAAAUGCAUAAACAACAAUCAUUCUCCUAUCUGUUAGUGGUUAGCCCUAAUUAACUGUGCUUGUGUGCGAGAAUUACUUCAUAGCUAUAUAUAUUGUUUUCCUUUGGUCAAUUUAAUUUGCAACAAACAAAGGUAUAUAUGGUUGGUCCCAGGGGAGCACCUUUGCUGAAUAAUCAUGACUGUUGUAAGCUUAUUCUGAAUUAUAAUUGGAAUAUGCCUUCUCUUGAAUGCUUAGAGAAAAAAAGGAUGAAUAAUUUGGUAUGUGUGUUAAUAAGGUUAUUGUUUUCCGAUUCUACUAUUGUCUCCUCAUUUUAUAGCGGCCUCAUGUUCUACUGCUGAUUCAAACUAGUUUUUCUAGAAGUUUGUUAUUGGGAAUUGGGUUCGCUAGUUGGUACCCCUCUCCUCAGCUCAAGCGCAGGGAAAAGGUUAUGGGUUCCAACCAAGAAAAAUUGAAAAAAUAUAAAAGUUCAUGAGUUUUGCUCUUUUUGGAAUGUUAAUAAGUGAAUCCUGUCCAUUUUCAAUUCUGCACUCUUCUAGAAUUUUUGGUUUCAUGUAAGCUUUUUUUUUUGGUUGGGGUUGGAGGGGUGGCAAGGCAGGCUAGAUAUGGUUAAAACCAAAAUAUUUGAAAGAUAUUAGCCUCAGCAGAGUCAGCAAUGCCCAACUGGCUGCUGUACUUAUGUGGGGAAUAGAGAGCCUUGUGUUGUAUUUGUUUUUCUUGCUCUAAGUUCUAAUAGGUUGUGGUAUGUUGAUUCAAUAGCCCUAAUCAUUGCCAUGGCCAUAUUUAAGAUCUUAGAAAUUCUUGUAAAGAUGAGAUCGAGCCUAUAAAAAUGUUAACUUGAGACUGUAUUCUUUUCUUCUGAACUGAAGAAAGAUAUAUUUUCCCAUUUGCCUCCGAAGUCGAUUGAAAAAUGAAUUUUUCUCCUAUAAUUCAUCAUUCAAGAGUAACUCUGCAUAUAACUUAUUUUAGAUCAUCACACCUUUUGCAGUUUAAAAGGUUUACUUGAUUUUGCUGCUAAUAAUUCAUCAAUUUACAUUAAAAAUUCCCUGAAUAAUUGAUGCUUUAUUUGUUGUUUUUGACUGGUAUGAAGAAUAAAUAGAAAUCAAUCCAUGUUUAUCUUAUCAUGCCUCUUCUUAAGAAAUUCAAGACAUGAUGUCUUUGAUCAUCUAGAGGGCUUAACAGUUGUAUACAACUCUUGACAUCACCCUAGCAACAAUGUCAAUCUUAAGCAUCCAGAACAAGUAUAUAUUCUCAAGAGCACAAAACCUCCAUAAUGUCCUCUCUGGUAUAUAAGCACACUCAUUUAAGCAAUUAGGUUGAAACUCUUUUUUUUAAUGGCUGAGCAUGGAACUCAAAUUUUGGGAGUCCAUACUCUACAAAGUACCAUAUUGUUUUCCAAAUUAUAAGGUGGCCUUGUGAUUUAAGCACUGAAUCAAAGACGUUCUUGGCAAAUCAUCAACAUACAGCAAUUCUUCACUAAAUUUUGCAUGGAUAAUUGUAAUGUGAUGAAGGCAUAGGCAUGCUUGAAUAUUUUGCUCAAUGUCUGAGCGGGAUCACAGAUUUUUUACCUCCAUACUUAAACUAUAGAAAGGCAGAUAAUUAUAUUCCAAUUAGUUUCAAACAUACUUGAAUAUAAUCCUAAAAAAAAUAAAAAAUUGAAAACUCAUUGUCUUUCAAUUAGUUCCAUCAUUAUAUUGAAGAUGCUCUUCAAAAAAGGCAUCUGACUACGAUCAAGACAUGGUUCUUCAAGGAGAUGACAUCCUCCUUGCUAUAUCUGGCUUUUCUUCAGCAUUGACAUCAGCUUUUUUAAUUACUAUCUUUGAAAUAGGAGGCCUAAAGUUCCCCCCUAAUUUUCAUUGAAUGAUGAAAGAUAUACAAAGUUUAGAAUGAAAUUCUUACAAAACCAGUAUGGAACUGAUAAUAGAUAUCCUAUUUACCAGCUUUUCUGUCAAUUAGAAGGUCCAGUGGAGAAAGUUACCUCUGAUGUGAUUAGCUACUGUGGCAUCUCGGGUGAUAGUGUUGAAAAUUCUGUUAUUACACUCUUUCCAAAUAUGUCAGAUGCCUGCUGCAGAUGAGUGGUCCCUGCCUUGCCGAAUAGGAGGAUGUGAGUCAUUUGUCCAAGUCGACCAGAAGGACUCAAGAUUGGCUGUUGGAGGCUUGCUGAUAUUUAAGAAAGAGAGAAAAUGUUGCCAAAUCUGGGCUGUGUAAUUUUGGGAUAAGAAUAGAUGGUCAUUAUUUUCCGAUAAGGUUGACAAAGCACAUAUUUUGAGCUUAUGGCUGGUUUUUAGCUUUGCAAUUUGACUUCUUUUAGUUUUGAACUUUUCUCAUCAUCACCUCUAUGCUGACGAUUAUGAGAGUUUGCCUGCAAUGUCUCUCCUAAGCAGAAAAUUACAACCUAUUGUAAAUGCUAAGGCACUUGUUCAGCAAAUCCAUAAUCCUCUCUUGUCUGCAAGUCCUAAGAGCAACCAAGGACCCUCUUGUCCCUGUUUUUGCCUCAAACUUCUACUUCACUGACAGAGGGUCUUUCAACUGCCAUCUGUCAAUGUUUCAGCUUUAAAUACAGAAGCCUAGCUGACAAGAGAAGUGUUUGUUUUUGGGAAAUUAACCAUAAUACUUUAUUCCACUUGCAGCCUCUGACAGAGCUUACAGAAAAUAAGUGCAAGCGCUGUGGUCUCUAUGAGAUGGACAGGAUAAAAUCUGAUGAUGUUUUUGAUGAGUGGGAGCUGUGCCUUGAUGAUUUUAUUGAUGGAAAAUCUAUACAUUUUAAGGAGAAGGAGUUCAAUGCCACAUUCAUAUGUGAGCAAUGUAGAGCUGCUGCUGGUCAGCUGUCCAUCUCUCUCUCUCUCUGUCUCCACCACUCCCUCCUCCUCAACCCCCCCCCCCUUCUCACUCUCUGCUUUGUAUAUAUUUAAUGUUUUUGCAUUCACAAUUUUCAUCCUAAUUCACAGAUUUAGUGCUGUAGUGGUGAGGAGAAUUGCUUUUUAAAGUCUUAUUAGCAGAUUUGUCCAAUUUUUCUUUUUUCUUUUUUUUUUUAAAAAGACCAAAUUUUCAGCAUGCUUAUCUCUGAAUUUUAUCUUCAACAAUAUAUUUUGCAUCUAUCAUGUCCUCUUCAUGCCAUUUCUGAGUUAUGGCCACCAAUGUUAUGUUGACAGCUGUUCCAGUUGUAGAUUCUGGUAUGACUUCUAGCUCAAAGAGUGGUUCUGCCAACAAGAAAAUGAAUGUGGUUCUAGUGAUGGUUAUCAGUGCAUUGGUUUCUGUUAUAGCUGCUGCGGGAACGGUUGGUGCAUACAAAUACUGGCAGAAGAGGAAGAGGGAACAAGACCAAGCUCGAUUUCUAAAGCUUUUCGAAGAUGGAGAUGACAUUGAAGAUGAACUUGGUCUGGAGCAGAUAUAACAAAAACCUAUAGCUUCAUUUUUUCAAAAAAUCAACAAUGUACUAUAUAUGGUGUUCGACCAAUUUCUGUUGGAUGUUCUACAGGCAUCAGAAUACUCUACCCAGAUUCUGGAUCACACACCAAGGCAACUUAAGGAGUGGACAAAUACAAUGUUCUUUGGAAGAAUUCUCAUAAUUUUGAGCUGAAGUUCAACAUUGUGUUGUAUCACGAUGAGAGAUCAGAACAGAUUCAAAUAUAUCUGGGAGGUGAGAUAGAGAUACUUGAGCUUUUGAUAAGAUUUCAUGCUGUUUUUAUAUUUUUGCCAAGCAUCAUGAUGAAAUGGCAAUUAACUUAUUCUUGCCCAUACCUACACGGAAAUUUUAUCAUAUAAAAUCCUCAUUAGGCUAAUCAAGCUGGCAAGUUUGUAAUAUAUUUCUUUAGCUUUUUAUAUACGCAUGAGACAGGCUCUUCCAUCGUGGAACUAUCAAUAACCAAAGUGAACAUUCACUUCUAUCAAAGGAUAUAAGACUCUUGGACCAUGCAGGUUUGGUUGGAGUCAGUCAUGUUUUAAUGCUUAUCCAAGUGUACAAUUCGUUGACUAAUUAGGUGCUUUAUGAAGACGGUCAGAAAGAAGCGGCCUUAGAGGUGGGGGAGGUGGAAUAAACAAGGUCAGAUAUUGGGAAACAACACCAAGAUUUGAAUCCAGAAUUUCCUACGAAAGCUGCAAAUGAAACUGGUGGAGUAUAAGCAGUCACAUUCUGGUUAAUUUACAAGGUUGCUCUUAUCAAUGGUGAUGCAAUUCCGGGAGCCUCAUUUGUGGGUGUCGCUGAAUGGGAUUUUGUGGAUUAAGCUAACUUCUAUACGGCCAACUCAUUACAGAUUGCAAGGUUAAAACUCAAUGCCCUAUGUUCCUACAAUCACCAAACUGUUUAAGUAUUGAUUUUUGCAGAGGCCGUAACCUACAAAAUAUGUUGAUUUAUGCAAGAUUUUAAAUUUCAUGGGACAGGACUGUUCUGAUUUUUUCAUGAAACAGAAUGCGAAGCCAUCCUGUCCCGCCCCAACAUUUGUCCCAAAGAAUGUCUCAAAGCAUCCCGAUCAGAACGCUGAGAUGCUAGUAGAACGGUUUGUCCCAAUGUACCGGAUGGUAUCCUAUCUCGAUGUCUCACCGGAUGUUUUGAAACGUUCUGCUGGAACUUGAAUCUUCGAAUUUAUGAUUAUGAGAGACCACAACCUCCCAAUAUAGAAGGAUUUUGCAUUCAAGGAGAUUGCUAACUUACUGAUGCUAUAGUACUCAUGCUCUGUAUUGUAUCAUCGCAUUCCAAAACGACCCAGGAUUUACAGGGACGCAAAAUUGGCUAGCCAAUUUGCUGCAUAUUGCCCUCAUGGAAGAUAUGAGAUAACCACACAUCCUGGAGUGAAUCCAGCCAAGAACAAACCUGACGUAAAACAUGGUUAUAGAUUAUAUAAGAUCUUUGGGGAAGCCAAAAUAUGACAGUGGAAGAAUUCUCCUCAAUCCACAAUUUCAGAACCUGUAGAUGAAAGAAAGAAUAAAUUUACCUAUCGAAGCAGCACAUAGCUCUGAUUAGGUGACUGAAACUCCUGACAAAUGGCUGCAUUACGCUGCCGCAAAUAAAACAUUUCUAAAUUCAACACCUCUGUCACCAUUCAGUCCAUUCAUAACUGGAGCAAAGGGGCAAACCCAUAGGAUAACCCAGAGUAAAACCCUGGCUGUCAGAAAUAAAAUGGUACAAAUUUUCUCUCUCUUUACCUUAAUAAUACCAUGCAGCCUUUGAUUUCACAAAAAUAAAACAUUAAGAAAAUCCAUUGGGAAUAGAAACUGUACAAAGUACGGGUUACAUCGAUAGAGUUUACAGAUGAUAUGGUAGUCAAGCACAAAGUCCCCUCGAACAGAGUCAACAGAAAUCUAUGCAAUAGUCAUUGGAGAAUAUAAAGCAUAGCUAGCAAUGUCAACCAUCUAAGAACCUCAACAAUCACUUCCACUUCUUGAACUUGCCAAACAUUCGAUGCUUCCCUCCAAACAUUCGAUGCUUCCCAAACCUCAUAUGCUUCCCAUGUUUGAACUUGCCAUGCUUGAACUUUCCAUGAUGGUACCCAUGGAACAUCCCAUGGCCAAGAUGAUGAUAGCCAUGGGCCAUAUGGUGAGCCCCAUAAGCAGCUGCAGCAGCAGCUGCACCCCCAGCCAUUAGUGCCCCCAUGCCACUAGAUCCAUGACCUGGAUACAGAAUUUCCAAAGUAAAUAACAAUAAAAUAGUAGAAAUUCAAGAAAAAAGGGGGGGAAAACAUAGCAACACUGAAGGCUCUUCAAGUUAUUUCCUUGUCUAGUGUUCACUGAAGUUGAGUUUUAGGAGCGUGUCCAAUAAAAUCGGAAAAGGGCUCAUCCUAAUGAGAACAAGCAUCUUUUCUUUGGUUUUUUCUUUUUUUUUUUUGUUCUUGAAGCUGAUGAUGGUAAUGAUGGUGAUAAUGAUAUAUAAAAGCAACAAAUAUCUACGAUGAUGUUAUCAGUGUUUUACAGCCUUGAAGGCAUUGGCUAAUUUAUUGUUGGAAUAUAGAAGACCGAUGGGUUUAUACUACUAAAAUAGCAUGAAAUGAAGCACUAUAUAAUUUCUGAUAUAUUAACAAGGUCGCUAAGCAUAUCAGUAAGGGUUUGGAAAAAUAAUCACAGAUGCUCUAUGAUGAAUACCAUGAUAUGGGGGAGCAGAUGGACUAGCACCAGGAUAACCUGAUGGUGGGUAUCCACCAGCAGGUGGAUAUCCAGAGGGUGGGUAUCCAUGAGGGGGAUACCCUGCUGGGGGGUAACCAUGUGGGGGGUAACCAUGUGGAGGAUAUGGGCCAGGCGCAGGUGGAUAUCCUUGUGGUGGGUAUUGGCCAGGUGGUGGGGCAUAUGGAUAUCCAGCAUGGUAUCCUGGUGGAUGUCCAGCAAGCCCAUAUGCAAUGUUUGAUAAAAACCCUUUGUCACUGGUGUCUGAGCCAUCAGGCUUAUCCUUCCCACCUCCCAUUUUCUUUACUGAGAUGACUGCAAAAGAAAGGACAAAAAACACAUAUUAAAAGUAUUAUUCAGAAAUCAGAACUUUGUACCAAAAAAAAAAGUAUUAUUCAGAACGUGACAUGUCAAAUAUCCUUCAGCAAUCUUGAACUCAACCAAGAACAACCAAAUAUAAAGCCACAUGAUCCAAGAGCACAAAUUGUUUGACCAAGUCCAUCACUGAUAAAAAAAAAUUCCUCUUUUUUUUUUUUGAGUAAACACUGAUUAAAAAAAAGUCAUGGACGGCUUUCUUAUUAGAACUUUAAUCAGGUUGUGACACACGCCAUAUAUAUGAAGCAUGUGACAAGGUGAUAAACACCAAAGGACAACCAGUCUUCUUGAGCAUGUAGACAUACAUCCAUCCAAAGUUUGUUGUACCAUCACGUACAUACCAUACCACACCGAACCACAUACCAAUACCGUAAUAGGAUAGUACCCGAACAGAGUUCGGUACUGAGAUGGCAAGCCUUGCAUCCAUCUAUGUCUUGCAUGAGAAACCAACAAAAAGAUUCUGAUCAGACAGUGUACACAAACUACCUGAGACUGCAAACUUAGCAAAUAUCCUUAGCAGCUUGUUGGGUCAUGAAAAUUGUUUUGGUUAACAAUAAUUUCUUGUAAGGUCUUUCUCGCAGGGGUUGUAUGGUAUAGUUUCCAUAAAAACAUAACAUGAAGAAACUGCCACCUUUGGAUGCACAGAUUUUGACCCUGCAAUGUAUCAACUGGUCUAAUCAAAACACAUCACUAUGCAACACGAGGGCUUGCCAGGGUGAAAACACACUACCAUGGACCAGUCAAUAGUGUGAGAGAAAAGAAAAUACAUAUACUCCGGUUAAGAAUUUUUUAUUUUCUUUAUUUUUUUUUCUAGUGUGCGCAAUCCAUAAUAUUAGACCAAAAAAUGUACCCAACAAACCCCUCCUCUAUUCUUCCUGACAUUUACUAACCCAAUCAGUUUCUCGCUGUUUUACUUGACCCGUCAUUUUAUUCGCCAUCCAUGAAGACCCCAAUCUUCCUCAAUCAAUGGUUUCCUAAAUUAUUUUUCCUAAUUUUAUUAAAUUACAACACCUAAUAACAGGUUCUUCAAAAAAAAAAAAAAAAAAAUGCUGUGCUCUUGUCUUGUCCUGAUGUUAUUUUCUUUCUGUAUUAAGAACAAUGCGUUUGAGACUCUACUUUAUUCAUGAGCACACAUAUAAACAUAUUUAAUGGAGCAUACAUGCAAAAUUAUGUGUUGAUCAAGGCUUUUAUCUUUUCUUGUAUCAGUCCGUUUUUGAGAAUUCAUCAUGUAUUAGCUUGAAAUCUUGCAGCGAUAUGAUCAUCAAAGACCAACAAGUAAAAGAAAACAGUAAUAAAGCUCUAGUUGCUGAUGUAUCAACAGAUGUGCGCCAAUUACUUGGAAUCAAUGGAACAUCUGUGGUAACUUGUAGCAGUGAUGAGAAAGCAAAAUCCUACAAGUGAUGACAGAGCAAAAUCCCAUAAAAAAGCUGACUUACCACCUUUUCCAAGAGGAGGGAAAAAAGUCAAAGGACAUACAGAAUUACUUUAAAUCAUCCCAGGAACGAGCCAUCUGACUAAACAUUCUAGGAAGAACCAAAAGAGCAUGCUAUCACCAAUAACAGAUAAUAACAAAAAUUGGUGCAAAAUACGUCAAUGUUAAACAGGUUCUGUAUUCUCAUCACUAUAUGAACUCCAUCUACAAUCAUCUGAAAAGGAAAAUAACAUUCCAUACCCUCUUACUUUGCUUUAUGGUUUUAAAUUCCAAUUGCAUUCACACAUUAGAUGGAAUAUUAAAUAAAACUUGCGCUUUCUAAUACUCAAUGGACAUGUCUGUCUAUAGGUGAUAUAAAAAUGAAUAAUGAACACAAGAGUAUGAGACCAAGAUUAAUAAAUUAUUUAUGCUGUGCUUGUUUGUGUGUGCUUUGUGCUAUGUGCGCAAGAAUGCAUGCAGGAGUAUGUCCAUGCAUGCAUGAUUAGGAGUCAUGCAUCUUAGCUGCCUCGGCAUCAAAGGUGCAGAAUGCUGAAGUCAUAACCAAGCCCAUAUAAUAUCACUUUAGUGUACAUCAUGGGAUGCUGACUCUGUGACGCUUGUUUUCAUUUAGAUAACACUUUCGAAUGCAAGGUUACUCAUUCUGCCCUCCGACAGCCCUUUUCAUGGUAAUUUUACUUGAACACUUUCUCAAGUCUUAACCAAGUUCCCUGAAAAGGAAAAAAAAAAAGGUCUUAACCAAGUUUCUAACAAUGGGGUCCUCUUACACUCACUCUAACCCCCUCAAACACAAGAAAAGGGGGAGCAUUUCUCCAAAUCCAACAAGUGACGAAUAACUUGUACUCACCACUACCAUCGCCGAUUCAAGAAACCGUGUCUAUAUCAUCAGCACACCAAAUCCAAGAAUAAUCAGCCCAUCAGCAUUUAUAAACAUACUUCACCCCGAUACAACCCAAAUAAUUUUGAAAAACGUCAAGAUUCCUCUACUCAAUAAUUUUGAGGCCCGAUUUACCUAAUGCAAAGCAAAUAUCGAAAUAUAACGACUAAUCUCAAUCAUUUUUUUUUCUUUAGUUUUAAAUUAAUAUUGGAUCAACAAAAUAAAAGAACACCGCAACCAUCACCUCGUUACGAGGAAACUCUUUUACUUUUAAUUUUUUUGAUAUAGGUCUUUGAUUAGAAAUUAUUCAGAAUUUCUAAUACCCUAUCCAAAACAAAAAUCCCAGCUUUUUCCUCACCGACAACAAACUCCAACAUACUAGAACCAAAUAGAACGACAAUACACAAAAUUUCAGAUGAUUCACGUUUUUCCUAUUAAAGAAUCGCCACAUGAUGCUCAAAUACAUGGAAAACAACAAAGUAACGAUUGGAUUCAUCAUGCAAUCGGUCCCAAAAAAUCCAAAUAAACCAACAGAUCAAUAUAAGGGGAAAAACACACAAUAUAGAGGCGCA